GAUGCUUUAUAUAUGUUGUAACAAAUGUCUUUUGGAUGUUGUGAGUGCCUUGGCUUUGUAAAUCUCCAAUUCUCCCUUUCAAGCAGACUCUUGCAUACCCCCCAUCUAAAAAUGCUGCUUCUGGAAUAAAAGAAGGGUAACGUCCUACCUU
Molecule: long non-coding RNA, 151 nt
Organism: Octopus sinensis (East Asian common octopus)
Lineage: Eukaryota; Metazoa; Mollusca; Cephalopoda; Octopoda; Octopodidae
Exons: 3
Source: RefSeq, a predicted model, not a curated record